AAGGCAUCUGUGUAAUUCUGCUACAGCGAGUACCGCAAAUGUGCCCGGCAAAUGAUGAAAUUGGGAAUGAGGCGGCGGGUGAACCAAAACAACUCGGUUGGAUGAGGCCACGACGAAAAACAGUAAGAAAAUAAAAAACAGCAACUUAACUUGUUUCCAGAAUUAACGCCAAAAACUGUUACCCAAGCGAUAAGUGCAGUGCCACGCCCACCCUGGCGACUGUCUAUCGGGGAAAGCAGGUGGCUAGGUAGAAAGCAGCGGAUGGGCAGCAUGCAAACAAAUGGCGUAGCCAAAGUCCCAAUCGU
This 305-nucleotide long non-coding RNA is filed under the name Drosophila guanche. The record is from RNAcentral. Lineage: Eukaryota; Metazoa; Arthropoda; Insecta; Diptera; Drosophilidae.